RNAcentral lists this ribosomal RNA (253 nucleotides) under uncultured microorganism. RNAcentral describes it as "partial 16S ribosomal RNA". It matches the Rfam family "Bacterial small subunit ribosomal RNA", at positions 524 to 776 of the family's 1533-position model. The record is from RNAcentral.
UACGUAGGGUGCGAGCGUUAAUCGGAAUUACUGGGCGUAAAGGGUGCGCAGGCGGUUCUGUAAGACCGGUGUGAAAUCCCCGGGCGCAACCUGGGAAUUGCGCUGGUGACUGCAGGGCUAGAGUACGGUAGAGGGGGGUGGAAUUCCUGGUGUAGCAGUGAAAUGCGUAGAGAUCAGGAGGAACACCGAUGGCGAAGGCAGCCCCCUGGGCCUGUACUGACGCUCAUGCACGAAAGCGUGGGGAGCAAACAGG